CGGAGGAGUACGAAGGUGCGCUCAGACCGGUCGGAAAUCGGUCGUAGAGUAUAAAGGCAAAAGCGCGCUUGACUGCGAGACAGACACGUCGAGCAGGUACGAAAGUAGGUCAUAGUGAUCCGGUGGUUCUGUAUGGAAGGGCCAUCGCUCAACGGAUAAAAGGUACUCCGGGGAUAACAGGCUGAUACCGCCCAAGAGUUCAUAUCGACGGCGGUGUUUGGCACCUCGAUGUCGGCUCAUCACAUCCUGGGGCUGAAGUCGGUCCCAAGGGUAUGGCUGUUCGCCAUUUAAAGUGGUACGCGAGCUGGGUUUAGAACGUCGUGAGACAGUUCGGUCCCUAUCUGCCGUGGGUGUAGGAUACUUGAGAGGAGUUGCCCCUAGUACGAGAGGACCGGGGUGAACGAUCCACUGGUGGACCUGUUGUUGCGCCAGCAGCAGUGCAGGGUAGCUAUGAUCGGACAGGAUAACCGCUGAAGGCAUCUAAGCGGGAAGCCCCCCUCAAAACAAGGUAUCCCUGAGGACCGUGGUAGACCACCACGUCGAUAGGCCGGAGAUGUAAGUGCAGCAAUGCAUUCAGU
This 578-nucleotide ribosomal RNA is filed under the name Stygamoeba regulata. Its description in RNAcentral is "partial Bacterial large subunit ribosomal RNA". It matches the Rfam family "Bacterial large subunit ribosomal RNA", at positions 2301 to 2891 of the family's 2925-position model. The record is from RNAcentral. Lineage: Eukaryota; Discosea; Stygamoebida.